RNAcentral lists this ribosomal RNA (253 nucleotides) under uncultured bacterium. RNAcentral's name for it is "partial 16S ribosomal RNA". It matches the Rfam family "Bacterial small subunit ribosomal RNA", at positions 524 to 776 of the family's 1533-position model. The record is from RNAcentral.
UACAGAGGUCCCGAGCGUUGUUCGGAUUCACUGGGCGUAAAGGGUGCGUAGGUGGCUUGGUAAGUUUGAUGUGAAAGCUCAGGGCUCAACCCUGAAAUGGCAUUGAAUACUACUGAGCUGGAGGUUUGGAGGGGGGACUGGAAUUCUCGGUGUAGCAGUGAAAUGCGUAGAUAUCAGGAAGAACACCAGUGGCGAAGGCGCUCUACUGGGCCGUAACUGACACUGAGGGACGAAAGCUAGGGGAGCGAAAGGG